GCUGGGGUGGCGUAAUUGGUAGCCGCACUAGCCUUAGGAGCUAGCGCCGUAAGGCAUGGGAGUUCGAAUCUCCCCCCCAGCA
Molecule: transfer RNA, 82 nt
Filed under: bacterium
Lineage: Bacteria
Description: tRNA-Leu
Rfam family: tRNA
About the family: Transfer RNA (tRNA) molecules are approximately 80 nucleotides in length. Their secondary structure includes four short double-helical elements and three loops (D, anti-codon, and T loops).
Source: RNAcentral